RNAcentral lists this transfer RNA (72 nucleotides) under Bos taurus (domestic cattle). It matches the Rfam family "tRNA". From Rfam's summary of the family: Transfer RNA (tRNA) molecules are approximately 80 nucleotides in length. Their secondary structure includes four short double-helical elements and three loops (D, anti-codon, and T loops). RNAcentral also lists the same sequence under 3 other names. Lineage: Eukaryota; Metazoa; Chordata; Mammalia; Artiodactyla; Bovidae. The record is from Rfam by way of RNAcentral.
UCCCUGGAGGUCCAGUGGUUAGGACUCUGCAUUUCCACUGAAGGGGCACUGGUUCGAUCCCUGGUCAGGGAA